Transfer RNA from Felis catus (domestic cat), 73 nucleotides. It matches the Rfam family "tRNA". From Rfam's summary of the family: Transfer RNA (tRNA) molecules are approximately 80 nucleotides in length. Their secondary structure includes four short double-helical elements and three loops (D, anti-codon, and T loops). The record is from Rfam. NCBI's taxonomy places the organism in Eukaryota, Metazoa, Chordata, Mammalia, Carnivora, Felidae.
ACCUGGCUGGCUCAGUUGGUAGAGCAUGUGAUUCUUGAUCUUGGAGUUGUAAGCUCGAGUCCCAUGUUGGGUG